GGGUGGUAAUGCCGGAUGCUCCAGUUGAUCGCAUGGUCUUCUGGGAAAGCUUUCGCGGUAUGGGAUGGGGUCGCGUCCUAUCAGCUUGACGGCGGGGUAACGGCCCACCGUGGCUUCGACGGGUAGCCGGCCUGAGAGGGCGACCGGCCACAUUGGGACUGAGAUACGGCCCAGACUCCUACGGGAGGCAGCAGUGGGGAAUAUUGCACAAUGGGCGCAAGCCUGAUGCAGCGACGCCGCGUGAGGGAUGGAGGCCUUCGGGUUGUAAACCUCUUUUAUCGGGGAGCAAGCGUGAGUGAGUUUACCCGUUGAAUAAGCACCGGCUAACUACGUGCCAGCAGCCGCGGUAAUACGUAGGGUGCAAGCGUUAUCCGGAAUUAUUGGGCGUAAAGGGCUCGUAGGCGGUUCGUCGCGUCCGGUGUGAAAGUCCAUCGCUUAACGGUGGAUCCGCGCCGGGUACGGGCGGGCUUGAGUGCGGUAGGGGAGACUGGAAUUCCCGGUGUAACGGUGGAAUGUGUAGAUA
This 523-nucleotide ribosomal RNA is filed under the name Bifidobacterium longum subsp. infantis. RNAcentral's name for it is "bacterial SSU rRNA". It matches the Rfam family "Bacterial small subunit ribosomal RNA", at positions 158 to 696 of the family's 1533-position model. The record is from RNAcentral. Lineage: Bacteria; Bacillati; Actinomycetota; Actinomycetes; Bifidobacteriales; Bifidobacteriaceae.